AAAAGCUGAGGAAAAGAAACUAACAAGGAUUCCCCUAGUAAUGGCGAAUGAAGAGGGAAAAGCCCAAAUUUGUAAUCUGGCUCUUUCAGAGUCCGAGUUGUAAUUUUAAGAACUGUUUUCAGUGCUGGACCAUGUACAAGUCUGUUGAAAAGCAGCAUCAUAGAAGGUGAUAAUCCUGUUCAUGAUAUGGACUACCAGUGCAAUAUGAUACAGUCUCUAAGAGUCGAGUUGUUUGGGAAUGCAGCUCAAAGUGGGUGGUAAAUUCCAUCUAAGGCUAAAUAUUGAUGAGAGACCGAUAGCAAACAAGUACCGUGAGGGAAAGAUGAAAAGAACUUUGGAAAGAGAGUUAACAGUACGUGAAAUUGUUAAAAGGGAAACAAUUGAAGUUAGACUUGUUAUUAUUAGUUCAACCUUUUCUAAGGGGGUAUUCUAAUGAUUAACAGACCAACAUCAAUUUUUGGGUGUUGGAGAAGGGUUUAAGGAAAUGUAGCAGUUUUUGACUGUGUUAUAGUCCUGAGCUUUGAUACAAUGCUUAAGAUUGAGGAAUGCAGUAAGCCCUUUCUUUUUUUGGGUGGAACAAAUUAUUGUUCUUCUUACUGAGGAUGUUGGUGCAAUAGCUUUAAAUGACCCGUCUUGACC
Molecule: ribosomal RNA, 639 nt
Filed under: Puccinia adenocauli
Lineage: Eukaryota; Fungi; Basidiomycota; Pucciniomycetes; Pucciniales; Pucciniaceae
Description: partial large subunit ribosomal RNA
Rfam family: Eukaryotic large subunit ribosomal RNA
Source: RNAcentral